RNAcentral lists this ribosomal RNA (252 nucleotides) under uncultured bacterium. Its description in RNAcentral is "partial 16S ribosomal RNA". It matches the Rfam family "Bacterial small subunit ribosomal RNA", at positions 525 to 776 of the family's 1533-position model. The record is from RNAcentral.
ACGAAGGGGACUAGCGUUGUUCGGAAUUACUGGGCGUAAAGCGCGUGUAGGCUGAUUAGUCAGUCAGGGGUGAAAUCCCAGGGCUCAACCCUGGAACUGCCUUUGAUACUGCUAGUCUUGAGACCGGUAGAGGUGAGUGGAAUUCCGAGUGUAGAGGUGAAAUUCGUAGAUAUUCGGAGGAACACCAGUGGCGAAGGCGGCUCACUGGACCGGUACUGACGCUGAGACGCGAAAGUGUGGGGAGCAAACAGG